Molecule: ribosomal RNA, 413 nt
Filed under: uncultured eukaryote
Lineage: Eukaryota
Description: SSU rRNA
Rfam family: Eukaryotic small subunit ribosomal RNA
Source: RNAcentral
CAAUAGCGUAUAUUUAAGUUGUUGCAGUUAAAAGCUCGUAGUUGGAUUUCGGUUGAGAACGGCCGGUCCGCCGUUUGGUGUGCACUGGCUGGUCUCAACUUCCUGUAGAGGACGCGCUCUGGGUUAACGCUCGGACGCGGAGUCUACGUGGUUACUUUGAAAAAUUAGAGUGUUCAAAGCGGGCUUACGCUUGAAUAUUUCAGCAUGGAAUAACACUAUAGGACUCCUGUCCUAUUUCGUUGGUCUCGGGACGGGAGUAAUGAUUAAGAGGAACAGUUGGGGGGCAUUCGUAUUUCAUUGUCAGAGGUGAAAUUCUUGGAUUUAUGAAAGACGAACUUCUGCGAAAGCAUUUGCCAAGGAUGUUUUCAUUAAUCAAGAACGAAAGUUGGGGGCUCGAAGACGAUCAGAUACCA